UCCUUUUUCCAUUGAUUUUAGCAUUCUGAUACAAAGGAAUAACAAGAUAUAUUUAGAUAAACAGAUCAGUAAACUCAUAUUCUCUGAUACAAAGGCAUAACUAGAUAAAAAAUAUACCCUAUAAUGAUCUUUGAUUUAAACAAGCAGACCAACGGGGCAAGGAAUGUUUGUACCGAAACAAAAGCUUUGAAUUUGAGCUUCUGAGGGUGUACAAGGACCAACAACCCAAUCACU
RNAcentral lists this long non-coding RNA (234 nucleotides) under Setaria italica (foxtail millet). RNAcentral's name for it is "long non-coding RNA (SITA_LNC007437)". The record is from RNAcentral. Lineage: Eukaryota; Viridiplantae; Streptophyta; Magnoliopsida; Poales; Poaceae.